Molecule: non-coding RNA, 92 nt
Organism: Delphinella strobiligena
Lineage: Eukaryota; Fungi; Ascomycota; Dothideomycetes; Dothideales; Dothioraceae
Source: the annotation of a GenBank genome assembly
UCCGAUGUGGUCUAGUGGCUAGGAUUUGCCGCUCUCAUGUGCAAUUCGCAGAAAGGUCCGGCAAGGCCGGGGUUCAAUUCCCCGCAUCGGAA